GACGAACGCUGGCGGCGUGCUUAACACAUGCAAGUCGAACGGAAAGGCCCUGCUUUUGUGGGGUGCUCGAGUGGCGAACGGGUGAGUAACACGUGAGUAACCUGCCCUUGACUUUGGGAUAACUUCAGGAAACUGGGGCUAAUACCGGAUAGGAGCUCCUGCUGCAUGGUGGGGGUUGGAAAGUUUCGGCGGUUGGGGAUGGACUCGCGGCUUAUCGGCUUGUUGGUGGGGUAGUGGCUUACCAAGGCUUUGACGGGUAGCCGGCCUGAGAGGGUGACCGGCCACAUUGGGACUGAGAUACGGCCCAGAAUCCUACGGGAGGCAGCAGUGGGGAAUAUUGCACAAUGGGCGGAAGCGUGAUGCAGCAACGCCGCGUGCGGGAUGACGGCCUUCGGGUUGUAAACAGCUUUCGCCUGUGACGAAGCGUGAGUGACGGUAAUGGGUAAAGAAGCACCGGCUAACUACGUG
Molecule: ribosomal RNA, 468 nt
Filed under: uncultured bacterium
Lineage: Bacteria
Description: partial 16S ribosomal RNA
Rfam family: Bacterial small subunit ribosomal RNA
Source: RNAcentral